AUCUUUUUUUUAUUAUUAAAAAAAAUAUAAAAUACAAAGUGUGGGUUUUAAAUAUAAGUGAUCGCGAAACCUCGCUAGACGCUCGGUUCGCCAAAUCAGUAAUGAUCCUUCCGCAGGUUCACCUACGGAAA
This 131-nucleotide unclassified non-coding RNA is filed under the name uncultured fungus. RNAcentral describes it as "sequence contains ITS1". Lineage: Eukaryota; Fungi. The record is from RNAcentral.